Molecule: non-coding RNA, 90 nt
Filed under: Legionella fallonii
Lineage: Bacteria; Pseudomonadati; Pseudomonadota; Gammaproteobacteria; Legionellales; Legionellaceae
Also listed under: 1 other name
Description: TPP sequence
Rfam family: TPP riboswitch aptamer (THI element)
About the family: Vitamin B(1) in its active form thiamin pyrophosphate (TPP) is an essential coenzyme that is synthesised by coupling of pyrimidine and thiazole moieties in bacteria. The previously detected thiamin-regulatory element, thi box was extended, resulting in a new, highly conserved RNA secondary structure, the THI element, which is widely distributed in eubacteria and also occurs in some archaea. Analysis of operon structures identified a large number of new candidate thiamin-regulated genes, mostly transporters, in various prokaryotic organisms.
Source: RNAcentral
AUUGUUCACUAGGGGUACCGCAAGGUUGAGAUAGUCCCUUUGAACCUGAACAGGUUAAUGCCUGCGUAGGGAAUGUGAAAUUAUUCUAUU